GCCGAGGUGGCGGAACUGGCAGACGCGGCGGCCCUAGGAGCCGCUGGGAGCAAUCCCUUGGGAGUUCAACUCUCCCUCUCGGCACCA
RNAcentral lists this transfer RNA (87 nucleotides) under Candidatus Wolfebacteria bacterium RIFCSPLOWO2_01_FULL_45_19. RNAcentral describes it as "tRNA-Leu". It matches the Rfam family "tRNA". From Rfam's summary of the family: Transfer RNA (tRNA) molecules are approximately 80 nucleotides in length. The record is from RNAcentral. Lineage: Bacteria; Candidatus Wolfeibacteriota.